CAGUAGCCGCGGUAAUACGGAGGAUCCAAGCGUUAUCCGGAAUCAUUGGGUUUAAAGGGUCCGUAGGCGGUUUAGUAAGUCAGUGGUGAAAGCCCAUCGCUCAACGGUGGAACGGCCAUUGAUACUGCUGAACUUGAAUUAUUAGGAAGUAACUAGAAUAUGUAGUGUAGCGGUGAAAUGCUUAGAGAUUACAUGGAAUACCAAUUGCGAAGGCAGGUUACUACUAAUUGAUUGACGCUGAUGGACGAAAGCGUGGGGAGCGAACAGGAUUAGAUACCCGGGUAGUCCCUGUCUCUUAUAC
RNAcentral lists this ribosomal RNA (301 nucleotides) under uncultured bacterium. RNAcentral describes it as "partial 16S ribosomal RNA". It matches the Rfam family "Bacterial small subunit ribosomal RNA", at positions 509 to 807 of the family's 1533-position model. The record is from RNAcentral.